This 71-nucleotide transfer RNA is filed under the name Ovis aries (sheep). It matches the Rfam family "tRNA". Rfam says of the family: Transfer RNA (tRNA) molecules are approximately 80 nucleotides in length. Their secondary structure includes four short double-helical elements and three loops (D, anti-codon, and T loops). Lineage: Eukaryota; Metazoa; Chordata; Mammalia; Artiodactyla; Bovidae. The record is from Rfam by way of RNAcentral.
UCCCCGGUGGCUCAAUGGUAAAGAAUCUGCCUGCAGUGCAGGAUACCUGGGUUCAAUCCCUGGGUUGGGAA